This 256-nucleotide ribosomal RNA is filed under the name uncultured bacterium. RNAcentral describes it as "partial 16S ribosomal RNA". It matches the Rfam family "Bacterial small subunit ribosomal RNA", at positions 524 to 777 of the family's 1533-position model. The record is from RNAcentral.
UACGUAGGGUGCGAGCGUUAAUCGGAAUUACUGGGCGUAAAGCGUGCGCAGACGGCGCGUUAAGACAGGUGUGAAAGCCCCGAGCUUAACUUGGGAAUUGCGCUUGUGACUGGCGUGCUGGAGUGUGGCAGAGGGAGGUGGAAUUCCACGUGUAGCAGUGAAAUGCGUAGAGAUGUGGAGGAACACCGAUGGCGAAGGCAGCCUCCUGGGCCAGCACUGACGCUCAUGCACGAAAAGCGUGGGGAGCGAAACAGGA